This 497-nucleotide ribosomal RNA is filed under the name uncultured bacterium. RNAcentral describes it as "partial 16S ribosomal RNA". It matches the Rfam family "Bacterial small subunit ribosomal RNA", at positions 28 to 507 of the family's 1533-position model. The record is from RNAcentral.
GACGAACGCUGGCGGCGUGCCUAAUACAUGCAAGUUGAGCGAUGAAGCUUGGUGCUUGCCCCAAUUUGAAGAGCAGCGAACGGGUGAGUAACGCGUGGGGAAUCUGCCUUUGAGCGGGGGACAACAUUUGGAAACGAAUGCUAAUACCGCAUAACAACUUUAAACAUAAGUUUUAAGUUUGAAAGAUGCAAUUGCAUCACUCAAAGAUGAUCCCGCGUUGUAUUAGCUAGUUGGUGAGGUAAAGGCUCACCAAGGCGAUGAUACAUAGCCGACCUGAGAGGGUGAUCGGCCACAUUGGGACUGAGACACGGCCCAAACUCCUACGGGAGGCAGCAGGAGGGAAUCUUCGGCAAUAGACGAAAGUCUGACCGAGCAACGCCGCGUGAGUGAAGAAGGGUUUCGGAUCGUAAAACUCUGUUGGUAGAGAAGAACGUUGGUGAGAGUGGAAAGCUCAUCAAGUGACGGUAACUACCCAGAAAGGGACGGCUAACUACGUG